GAGGUGACAAGUGGAGUGCCGCAGGGCUCCGUCCUGGGCCCGGUUCUGUUCAACAUCUUUAUUAACGACUUAGACAAAGGGUUAGAAGGCACGAUCAUCAAGUUUGCAGACGACACCAAACUGGGAGGGAUAGCUAACACACCAGAAGACAGGAGCAGAAUUCAAAACGAUCUUGACAAACUAGAGAGAUGGGCCGAAACUAACAAAAUGAAGUUCAACAGGGACAAAUGCAAGAUACUUCACUUUGGCAGAAAAAACGGAAAUCAAAGAUACAGAAUGGGGGACGCCUGGNNNNNNNNNNNNNNNNNNNNNNNNNNNNNNNNNNNNNNNNNNNNNNNNNNNNNNNNNNNNNNNNNNNNNNNNNNNNNNNNNNNNNNNNNNNNNNNNNNNNUCAGUUCCGGGUAUGACUGUGUGAGUGUCAGAGUGUGGAUCCACGAUCCAUCCACAAUCGCGAGGGCAUGAGAAGGGGUGGGCGCAGCUCCUUAAGGCGGAUCCCGGAGACGCACCACAUCAGAGCCCAAGGGGAGUGCGGCUCGCGAGGGUUUCCCUUUCGGGAUCGGGGGUCUUCCGUUGCCCACGCCUCGCCCUUCCCGCAAUCUCAAGCAAGGUCCCAACGCUGCUUCUCUAAAACGCAUGGCUUCCAGGAGGAACACAGGUGACCCUAAGGGAAAGAGCCCAGUCAAGAAGAUUCCAGCUAAGAGCUUUUCCUGUCCGGCAAUGUCUUUGGAUGAUGAUGACAGCACGGACUCAUCCACAUGCAAUAUGGAACAUGUGCCUGCUUUAGAAUGCCAAAGGGGCCCAGACCGUACAUCAGCAGGCACCAACAUAACAAAAGGAGGAAAAUUCCUUGCCAGGGUGCUGCUGCAGGGCCAUAUUACAAAUAUUUUGGGGUCAGUUGAGAUUUCUAGUCUAUCAACCAACUUGUUCCUUUCCUUUACCAUAUUUUAGUGUCAGCUGUAGUACUAGUGCAGUACAAAUGUGGCAACUAACAAGUUUCAUCUUGAUAGCCAUAAAAAUGGAAAACCCAAAGUUCUCUGAGACUGAGAGAGAGUGACUCAGCCUAGGUGCUGAAAUUUUUUAAAUUAUCUGAAAAAUCAGUGUAUGCGCAAAUGUUUCUGAAACUUCAGAGGAAUGAUGCCCUCGUUGUGUUGUGAGUCGUGACAUUGUAGAGAAAUUUGAAGCAUAGAAUCAUAGAGUUGGAAGAGACUUCAUGGGCCAUCCAGUCCAACCUCCUGCCAGGAAAAUCGCAUUCAAAGCACCCCCAAUAGAUGGCUAUCCAGCCUCUACUUAAAAGGCUCCAAAAAGGGAGAGUCCACCACACUUCGGAGCAGAGAGUUCCACUGCUGAAAGGCUCUCACAGUUAGGAAGUUCUUCUUCAUGUUCAGUUGAAAUCUCCUUUCUUGUAGUUUGAAGCCAUUAUUCCAUGUCCUAGUCUCCAGGGCUUGCUCCCUCCUCCCUAUGACUUCCUCUCACAUAUUUAUACAUGGCCCUCAUCAUGUCUCCUCUCAGCCUUCUCUUCUGCAGGCUAAACAUGCCCAGUUCAUUAAGCCACUCCUCAUAAGGCUUGUCCUCCAGACCCUUGAUCAUUUUAGUUGCCCUCCUCUGGACACAUUCCAGCUUGUCAACAUCUCCCUUAAAUUGUGGGCACAGAAUUGGACACAGUGUGAUCCUCUAUUCUGACCAAGGCUGAAUAUAGGGGGAGCAUGACUUCCCUGGAUCUAGACACUAGACUCCUAUUUAUGCAGGCGAAAAUCCCAUUGGCUUUUUUUUUUGCCGCCGCCGCCGCCGCCGCAUCACAUUGUUGGCUCAUGUUUAACUUGUUGUCCACGUGGACUCCAAGAUCAUUUUCACACAUACUGCUGUCAAGCCAGUCGAUCCCCAUUUUGUAUCUUUGCAUUUCAUUUUUCCUGCCUAAAUGGAGUAUUUCAUUUUGUUAGUUUCAGCCCAUCUCUCUAAUCUGUUAAGAUCAUUUUGAAUUCUGCUCCUGAAUUCUGGAGUAUUAACUAUCCCUCCCAAUUUGGUGUCAUCUGCAAACAUGAUGAUCAUGCCUUCUAGGCCUUCAUCUAAGUCAUUAACAAAGACACGGAACAGAAUCGAGCCCAGGACAGAACCCUGCUUCUGGCACUCCAUUUGUCACUUUUUCCAGGAUGGAGAGGAAGCAUUGGUGAGCACCCUUUGGAUUCAUUCACUUAGCCAGUUACAGAUCCACCUAGCUGUUGUUUGCUUUCAGUUGUACAUUUGAGAUCUUCAUCACUUUUCUUGAAUAGAUCUUCAUUCAGUGGCCACUGUGAGCAUCUCCUUCAGGAAUUUUUAACUACCCAGCUGGGUGUUCCCCUGGCUCAUGAGAAGACCGAGAGUUCAUUGACCUUUUUGAAUAUUAUUUAUUUAUUUAUUUAUUACAUGCAUUUAUGCCCCGCCCUUCUUCCCGAGGGGACUCAGAGCGGCUUACCUUCUGCCACGAGGGCCAGCAACAAAUAUACUAUAAAACAAAACAAUUAAAACAUGAUAAAAACGUGAUAAAAAGUAUAUAAAAAUUAAAACGCUGCAAGGCAGCAAUAUUGCACCAUUCUCGGUCAUUCACUACUGCUACAAUUACAGAUUUGCGACCCGAUUACAUCAGCCAGUGAGCUUAUUCGCUGAAUGCCUGGGCGCAGAGCCAAGUUUUUAGUUUUCUUCUAAAUUCCAGGAGGGAAGGGGUUUGCCAGAUAUCACUGGGGAGGGAGUUCCACAGCCGGGGAGCCACCACCGAGAAGGCCCUGUCCCUCGUCCCCACCAGUUAAUUAAAAUUAACACCAUGCCUUAGGUUUCCUGUCUUCCAGAGCAAAUGGUUACUGAUCUGUUGGACAGAAUUAUUCAAUUUUUGUAUCACAGGAAGGUCACUCUUAUGGAGUUCCAAGAAUGUAUAGGUCAUUUGAACUUUGCAUGGAGAAUGGCAGUACUGAAUAGAGCAUUUUUGCAACAUCUGUGUAAUGCAGCACACAGGGUUUCAUUUCCCCAUCACUGAUUUCAGUAAGGCCUUGACGAGGGCCCCUAUGAUCAUGUUGCAAACUAAGUAGUGGGCUAGACAAUACUACUAUUGGGUGGAUUUGUAAUUGGCUAAGUGACUGAACCCAAAGAGUGCUCACCAAUGGUUUCUCUUCAUUCUGGAAAGAAUGCACUAAUGGUUUGCCACAGAUUGCUGUCCUGGGUCCAGUGCUACUCAAAAUCUUUAUUGAUGACUUGGAUGAAGGUUUAGAGGGCAUGUUGAUCAGGUUUGCAGAUGACAACAAAUUGGGAGGGAUAGCUAAUACUCCAGAAACCAGGAACCAAAUUCACAAUGACCUUAACAGAUUAGAGAACUGGGCAAACAAUGUGAUUCAGCAGCUUAAAAAGCUAAUGGGAUUUGGGACUUCAUCAAAAGGUGUAUAGUGUCUAGAGACCAGACAUGAGCAAACUUGGGCACUCCAGGUGUUAGGAAUUCAACUCCCACAAUUCCUAACAGCUGGGAGCUGAAGUCCAAAACAUCUGGAGGGCCCAAGUUUGCCCAAGCCUGGUCUAGAUCAAAGGAAGUGCCCUUCUAUUCUGCUUCACUUCAAAUCACACUGUGUCCAAUUCUGGGCCCCACAAUUCAAGAAGGACAUUGACAAUUAUUAUUAUUAUUAUUAUUAUUAUUAUUAUUUUAUUCUUAUACCCCACCCCAUCUCCCCAAAGGGACUCGGGGUGGCUUACAUGGGGCCAAGCCCGAACAGAAAAAUAAAACAAAACAAUAAAACCAAUAAACCAAUAAUCAAACAAUAAAAGCAAGUCAUAAAAACCAUAUACAAGAUAAAAUGUUAAAAUCAUGGAUUAGGUUCAAAGAAUCUAGGCCAAAGUGCUAAAAGUGCAAAUAAAUCAUGUUCUCAAGGGAAGGAGGUUACUCAGCUAUGGUGGCUAUAAAGUGCCAUUAUAAUACUGGGGAAGGCAUUCACUGUAAUGGACAACAGGUCGAUCAUACAGAGAUCAGUCACCAAAAGCCUCCCGGAAGAGCCAAGUCUUCAGGCUCGUCCGAAAGGAGAGGAGGGUAGGGGCCUGCCUAAUCUCCCCAGGGAGCGAGUUCCAGAGCCGGGGGG
Long non-coding RNA from Anolis carolinensis (green anole), 4088 nucleotides. Lineage: Eukaryota; Metazoa; Chordata; Lepidosauria; Squamata; Anolidae. The record is from Ensembl.